Mauremys reevesii (Reeves's turtle) is the source of this 187-nucleotide long non-coding RNA. RefSeq lists it as uncharacterized. Lineage: Eukaryota; Metazoa; Chordata; Testudines; Geoemydidae. The record is from RefSeq and is a predicted model, not a curated record. The transcript is spliced from 2 exons.
CGUGUUUCAAACAGAGUUUCUACGUUUGCCGGUCGUUAUGCGUUGGUUCGUGUUUGAUAACAGCUGCAAGGGACAGUUAUCAAGAAGAGAGCACUAUGCUUAGUGCAUGAAGCACACUGGGCUUGUGAACACCAUUCUGUACAUCUGUAGACGCUGGAGCUGCAUUAAAGAAGGUUGCCCUAUUCCA